GGGUCAUCUAACAGAAAGGAUCUAACAGAGAAACGCAUUAUUCGGCUACAGCAUUACCUCAGCUGCCUGCUUGCCACUAUCCUUUCUUACUCUCAGAUAUUUCAGGAAAUUAGAGUUAUGGAGACUAUAGGGUAUGGUUUGCCAAAUAGGUGGUGAUGAGACACCGCUUUCGUUGAUAUAUGGGGUUUAAAUGGCACAAUUUAUAGAGCAAAUUACUCAUGCACCAUAGGAAAAUGGCACGUCUGUAGAAACCUACUCUGAAAUAUAAGCAGCACGGCAGCUGGUUUUGCAGCAAGGGGAUCCAAUGAGCCUUUAAUAAGGUAUGUACAAUCUCCUGUCAGAGGAUAUCAAAAUGUUGUACAAAGUUUCACAGCACGUUUGUGAGGCAUGAACCAACUAAACCAUUCAGUACAGCUAAGGAAGUCAUCAUGAGGACUAAGUAUAUUUUCCAUUAAUUGAUUUAACCAGAUGUCAGUGUCCUCCUAGAGCAAGACUCAUGAGAAUAUUAUGCCUUAGGCCCAUCAUUUCUAGGGUCGUUGCAUACACAGACACAUCAGAAGACAUGGCCAAUGUGCUUUACAUUAGUCAAAAGUGAUUUACCAAAGCUCGGAUAUAUUUAUACACGUGAGUGCAGAAAAGCUUUUGGUUCUUGAAGCAGGGGCCAACCGAAUCCAAUCCAAGGAUGCCCUGUGUCUAAAACCACACAAUAUAUUAGGUGUCAACAGAAAUCAUAAUUAUUAGCAAUUUGCUUUGCCAGCGAGGUGACAAAUGUCCGUAGGGAACUACCAGCUGUGCCCUUAAACAAACAAUUACAAUAAACCAAUGUUAUCUGCUAAUGUUGGAGCACCAGAAUUCUGGUGUUUACAUUACAUAGUGAGCUGUGUUCCAUUGUGUAAACAAAUGACUUAGAAAAUAAUAAAUCUUCCAUACUUCCGGAAAGAUUUUCAGGCUUCAAGCAAAGAAAAAUAAAGAAGAACUGAAAGCAAGACAGAGUUAAGACAACUUUAAAUAAAACAAAACUCUGCAAAAAUUACUCCAAAAUCUAUUCCGUGUGCCAGAACUCUGAGCUGGCACUACCAACAAACAAUUGUUGUGAACUCACUUCAGCAAAAGUGUACCCUUAGGCUAAAUCAGUCCCAAACCUUACAAUUCCAUGUUAAAUAAAUAACUGAAAAUCAGGAAAUAAGUCUAUUCAUUAACCUUCAGUGAUUUUAUUUUAUUGUUUUGGUGAGGGAAUCACAAGGAUGCAACAAAUCCAUGUUAUUCUCCGCUGCUGAUGAUACCAAGAAGAGGAUAGACUGGAGAAAAGACUCUACAGAAAAGUCCAAAAUGACCUAUAUUUAUACUGGAAUACAUUUUAAUAAUCCUAACUGCCUCGGCAGUGUUUCAUAACUCUCUUUAAACAACAAAGUCUAGAAUAAUUCCCUUUGUGUGCAGUCAAGUAUUAUCUUAAAGCGUUGAAAGAAUGAUUUACCAUGAGAUAAGGCUACAAAAUCCUGGAAUGUAAUUGUUUUUCAGCAAAUUCAUAUAAUAUACUGUGCACAGCUAGCAAGCCUGGAUAACACACCUAUAAGCAGGGCAGCCCUGCCUGGCACACCCACAUGCAGUAGGCCAUGUGCAACAUGGGGGGUUGCUGGAGAAGAUGUAGGGUGGUCUUAAUGAUUAUAUGCACUUGGGGUGAUUAAUGGAAUUUAUGUUGGGACUUUUACUGUAUUAUGAACUAUUUUGAACAAUGUUAAUAAAAUCCAUGUUGAUGGACUAGA
Molecule: long non-coding RNA, 1763 nt
Organism: Malaclemys terrapin pileata
Lineage: Eukaryota; Metazoa; Chordata; Testudines; Emydidae
Exons: 3
Source: RefSeq, a predicted model, not a curated record